ACGGGUGAGUAACGCGUAAGUAAUCUACCCCUGUAUUCGGAAUAACCCACCGAAAGGUGAGCUAAUACCGGAUACGUUUAUCUUGAUGCGAAUGAUGAUAAAGAAAGGUGGCCUCUUCUUGAAAGCUACUGUACAGGGAUGAGCUUGCGUACCAUUAGCUAGUUGGUAGGGUAAUGGCCUACCAAGGCGACGAUGGUUAGCGGGUCUGAGAGGAUGAUCCGCCACACUGGAACUGAAACACGGACCAGACUCCUACGGGAGGCAGCAGUGAGGAAUAUUGCGCAAUGGGGGCAACCCUGACGCAGCGACGCCGCGUGGAUGAUGAAGGCCUUUGGGUCGUAAAAUCCUGUCAGAUGGAAAGAAACGUAUAUGUGCUAAUAUCGCAUAUAUUUGACGGUACCAUCAAAGGAAGCACCGGCUAACUCCGUGCCAGCAGCCGCGGUAAUACGGAGGGUGCAAGCGUUGUUCGGAAUUACUGGGCGUAAAGCGCGCGUAGGCGGUUUUAUAAGUCAGAUGUGAAAGCCCUCGGCUUAACCGUGGACGUGCAUUUGAAACUGUGAGACUUGAGUACUGGAGGGGGUGGUGGA
Molecule: ribosomal RNA, 587 nt
Filed under: uncultured bacterium
Lineage: Bacteria
Description: bacterial SSU rRNA
Rfam family: Bacterial small subunit ribosomal RNA
Source: RNAcentral